GUGGGACUUAGUCUUUGUUAUAUUUGUACUUAGUAUUUUUUACAUUUUUAUUGUACUAUUUUUUGUAUGUUUGACAUUAAAAAUUAAAAAUUGUGUAAUCAAGUUAUAACUUUCUAAAGUUAGACAUGCGACUCAACUUCCUGAUAUGAUGGAUUUUGUUCUUCAAUCCUAUUAACUCCUGCUCAUAGUAGCUAACAUG
This 199-nucleotide long non-coding RNA is filed under the name Elaeis guineensis (African oil palm). RNAcentral's name for it is "long non-coding RNA (EGUI_LNC012889)". Lineage: Eukaryota; Viridiplantae; Streptophyta; Magnoliopsida; Arecales; Arecaceae. The record is from RNAcentral.